UCAAUUUUAAGAAGGUGUCUAGGGAUGU
This 28-nucleotide non-coding RNA is filed under the name Rattus norvegicus (Norway rat). The record is from RNAcentral. Lineage: Eukaryota; Metazoa; Chordata; Mammalia; Rodentia; Muridae.